UCUCCUCGGUCCCCAGCACUUUCUUCCGCCGAAGCGCUAGCUUUUGCAGCGUCGCCGCCUCCAGCCCUGUGGAUGUCCCGAGUGCAGCACCACCACCCGCUGCCGCCAUCAGCGUAGCCUGAAAAGGAGUCUUGUGGUGGUGCCAUUCUCCACCUGAAAAGGUGAAGGACAUGGCAGAGGAAUGAUCCUAGAGUGAUCUCAGUGAGGCAAAUGUACCACCAGCAUCCUGAUGAACAGGCUCAAAGUGGUCCAUUUCCACCCUGGUGAACAUCAUGUGUUCCCUGAGGAACACAUGAGGAAAACUUGGAAACUGCUGGAACAAGGAGAGUUUUUUUGAGACACUGGCUGAAAAUGAUAUCCUGCACCAGAAAAAAGUUAUUUUCUUGGACGAAGAGACCUCAUCAGAAGGACCACUCAGUCACCAGGCCUGCAUGCAGUCUCAUCCUCCCUCCCUCCUCCUUAAAGAGGAGCUGGAAUGAACUGGCUCUGCCUACAUUUAUGACAUCAACAAAAGAAAAAGAGACCAGGAGGGUGACUGUGUGCAUCAGUAAACAGUCUGAGGAGACAGAACGCUGUCUUGUUUGGUGAUGGAUCUGAGGGGGCACAUGUGGAGGCUGAGAUUGAGGAGACUGGCAGGACCAUCACUUUUGGUCACACAACAAUGGAUGUACAGUGGUUCUUGGAGGACAGGAACAGCGAAAGGAACCCUGGACCACAGGAUCACAGUGACGUUAACAACACCACCACUGCAGACUUGAAUGAUACUGUUAGAGAGACAACACAGGCUAUCAUACCCUCUAGGACCCCUCCCCACCAUUGGAACAACCAACAUGGAAAUCACAAGGACCUAACUCAUCCACAUAUCCAAAUGAGCAGCACCAGGAGGCACCCAUAGCCUCCAGCAAGCACAGCAGAGGGGCUGGAAGAGGGUGAGGAGGCAGCGUAGGAACCUGUUUUGAAGGUUAUGUUGCUGUCUUCUUGCCCCAGUACAAAAGAUAAAGCAUCCAGAAGCAAUGAGCAGAUUCGAGGAAGUCUUGCAUUCUUUACUCUUAGGCGCCUUCUUCCUUCAGGCCCCACGGGGCUGUUCCCCCUCCAAGGAUUACACAAACAUAAAGACUCCGUGUCCCCAAGGGGACUCCUCGACGUCAAUUAAGUAAACUCCCAUGAUCGUGCUGUCCACAGUGAAUAGAUGCGUCUGCUGAAGAGCUUGAUUGUCUGGAAGGACAGCAGGGGACUCUGCUCUGCUGUCUGCCGGGGAGGGACACAGAACUGCAGCCCGUAGUUUGUUGGAGGUUUGGCCACAGUACCUCAGUGCUGUGAACCCUGUGUGUGUACUUCAGCCCUGAUUUCAAGCCCAGGUUUCUUGAAGAAGCUAUCGCAGGCUGGGAGGUGGUGGCACUUGCCUUUAAUCCCAGUAAUUGGGAGGAAGAGGCAGGCGGAUCUCUGUGAGUUUGAGACCAGCCUGGUCUACAAAAGCUAGUUCCAGGACAGCCUUCAAAGCCACAGAGAGAAACCCUGUCUCGGAAGCAAAACAAAACAAAACAAAACUAUCUCUAUAAUUAAAGUAAGACUUCUCA
Mesocricetus auratus (golden hamster) is the source of this 1577-nucleotide long non-coding RNA. RefSeq lists it as uncharacterized. The record is from RefSeq and is a predicted model, not a curated record. NCBI's taxonomy places the organism in Eukaryota, Metazoa, Chordata, Mammalia, Rodentia, Cricetidae. The transcript is spliced from 6 exons.